UACGUAGGGUGCAAGCGUUGUCCGGAAUUAUUGGGCGUAAAGAGCUUGUAGGCGGUUUGUCGCGUCUGCUGUGAAAUUUCGGGGCUCAACCUCGAGACGUCGGCGGAAACCAUCUGGCUAGAGUCCGGAAGAGGAGAGUGGAAUUCCUGGUGUAGCGGUGAAAUGCGCAGAUAUCAGGAGGAACACCGAUGGCGAAGGCAGCUCGCUGGGACGGUACUGACGCUGAGGCGCGAAAGCGUGGGGAGCAAACAGG
Molecule: ribosomal RNA, 253 nt
Filed under: uncultured bacterium
Lineage: Bacteria
Description: partial 16S ribosomal RNA
Rfam family: Bacterial small subunit ribosomal RNA
Source: RNAcentral